Molecule: ribosomal RNA, 497 nt
Filed under: uncultured bacterium
Lineage: Bacteria
Description: partial 16S ribosomal RNA
Rfam family: Bacterial small subunit ribosomal RNA
Source: RNAcentral
GAUGAACGCUGGCGGCGUGCCUAAUACAUGCAAGUCGAGCGAACAGACGAGGAGCUUGCUCCUCUGACGUUAGCGGCGGACGGGUGAGUAACACGUGGAUAACCUACCUAUAAGACUGGGAUAACUUCGGGAAACCGGAGCUAAUACCGGAUAAUAUAUUGAACCGCAUGGUUCAAUAGUGAAAGACGGUUUUGCUGUAACUUAUAGAUGGAUCCGCGCCGCAUUAGCUAGUUGGUAAGGUAACGGCUUACCAAGGCAACGAUGCGUAGCCGACCUGAGAGGGUGAUCGGCCACACUGGACCUGAGACACGGUCCAGACUCCUACGGGAGGCAGCAGUAGGGAAUCUUCCGCAAUGGGCGAAAGCCUGACGGAGCAACGCCGCGUGAGUGAUGAAGGUCUUCGGAUCGUAAAACUCUGUUAUUAGGGAAGAACAAAUGUGUAAGUAACUAUGCACGUCUUGACGGUACCUAAUCAGAAAGCCACGGCUAACUACGUG